RNAcentral lists this small nuclear RNA (107 nucleotides) under Jaculus jaculus (lesser Egyptian jerboa). Lineage: Eukaryota; Metazoa; Chordata; Mammalia; Rodentia; Dipodidae. The record is from RNAcentral.
GUGCUCACUUUGGCAGCACAUAUACUAAAAUUGGAAUGAUACAGAGAAGAUUAGCAUGGCCCCUGCACAAGGAUGACAUGCAAAUUUGUGAAGUGUUCCAUACUUUU